This 72-nucleotide transfer RNA is filed under the name Dipodomys ordii (Ord's kangaroo rat). It matches the Rfam family "tRNA". From Rfam's summary of the family: Transfer RNA (tRNA) molecules are approximately 80 nucleotides in length. The record is from Rfam by way of RNAcentral. Lineage: Eukaryota; Metazoa; Chordata; Mammalia; Rodentia; Heteromyidae.
GGGGAUAUAGCUCAAUGGUAAAGUGCUUGCUUUGCAUGUCUUAGACCCUGGGUUCAAUUCCCAGCACUACCA